Molecule: transfer RNA, 74 nt
Filed under: Opsariichthys sp. 'chengtui'
Lineage: Eukaryota; Metazoa; Chordata; Actinopteri; Cypriniformes; Xenocyprididae
Description: tRNA-Trp
Rfam family: tRNA
About the family: Transfer RNA (tRNA) molecules are approximately 80 nucleotides in length. Their secondary structure includes four short double-helical elements and three loops (D, anti-codon, and T loops). Further hydrogen bonds mediate the characteristic L-shaped molecular structure. tRNAs have two regions of fundamental functional importance: the anti-codon, which is responsible for specific mRNA codon recognition, and the 3' end, to which the tRNAs corresponding amino acid is attached (by aminoacyl-tRNA synthetases). tRNAs cope with the degeneracy of the genetic code in two manners: having more than one tRNA (with a specific anti-codon) for a particular amino acid; and 'wobble' base-pairing, i.e. permitting non-standard base-pairing at the 3rd anti-codon position.
Source: RNAcentral
AGGGACUUAGGAUAACAUUCUAGAACCAAGAGCCUUCAAAGCUCUAAGCAGAAGUGAAAAUCUUCUAGUCCCUG